UAACUGAUUGGAAGGAAGUGUUAUCAUGUACAUUGUUUUGUCUUGGUAUAAAAGAUGGGCUACAGCAAAUAUUCUACUCAAUACCACAGAUUUUCUAAUCAGUUGUUUGACCGUAACCAGUCGAGUGUGUCCCUUGGUGGUUGAUGAUAUCUGUAUCUCUGAUCAUGAGCAGAAGUUGUGUGUGAGGAUCAUAGCC
Octopus sinensis (East Asian common octopus) is the source of this 196-nucleotide long non-coding RNA. RefSeq lists it as uncharacterized. Lineage: Eukaryota; Metazoa; Mollusca; Cephalopoda; Octopoda; Octopodidae. The transcript is spliced from 3 exons. The record is from RefSeq and is a predicted model, not a curated record.